ACCGAAUAGAUACCCCGGUAGUCCACGCCCUAAACGAUGCGAACUGGAUGUUGGGUACAUUACGGUACUCAGUGUCGAAAGCUAGCGCGUUAAGUUCGCCGCCUGGGGAGUACGGUCGCAAGACUGAAACUCAAAGGAAUUGACGGGGGCCCGCACAAGCGGUGGAGUAUGUGGUUUAAUUCGAUGCAACGCGAAGAACCUUACCUGGCCUUGACAUCUGUCGAAUCCUGCAGAGAUGCGGGAGUGCCGCAAGGAACGACAAGACAGGUGCUGCAUGGCUGUCGUCAGCUCGUGUCGUGAGAUGUUGGGUUAAGUCCCGCAACGAGCGCAACCCGUUGUCCCUAGUUGCCAGCACGUAAUGGUGGGAACUCUGGGGUAGACUGCCGGUGACAAACCCGGUAGGAAGGUGGGGUAUGACGUCAAGUCCUCAUGGCCCUUAC
This 440-nucleotide ribosomal RNA is filed under the name uncultured bacterium. RNAcentral describes it as "bacterial SSU rRNA". It matches the Rfam family "Bacterial small subunit ribosomal RNA", at positions 772 to 1205 of the family's 1533-position model. The record is from RNAcentral.